CCCACAAAUUAAGUUAUUAGUAUUUUAUAAAAAUCGAGACGCCCUUAAAAGGUGAUGUGAUAAAAUGGUAUGUAGCCUUAAUUUAAAUUAUGCAAUCUCCUUUUCAUAUUUAAGGAUUAUUUUCCAAAUAGAACUAUAGAAGCGGUCAUUUUCCAAUAUUUUAUGCAUGGCAAGUAAUAUUAGAUAUAUUUACUUUUCUAUAGCCUCUAUAAAUUGGGUAUGAGAGAUGGUGUAAACCGCAUCAUUUACUUUUCAUUCCUUUCAUUGGAAUAAAUGAGGAAUUGGAGAAGAAGGAAGAGUGAGAUGGGCUAUGCCUGGCUCCCUGUAUGCCACGCGUCCACGUCGAUCCCACGAGGGAUCGGCGGAGGCGGGCGGCAUACGAGGAGCCAAGCAUGCUGUCAACCGCCGUCCACACUCUCUCCAUCUUCUUCUCCUCCUCACCGCCGCCGCGGCAGUCAACUUCACGGAGUUUACUUCUCAUGUGAAAAUGGAAAAUAAAAAUAACAACUUUAAAUCAAACUGCACUCAAAGUGAGCACGAGAUCUUGCCAUUGGAAAAGUCUUCAUUUCUCACAUGCAAUUGGGCCAUUCAAUCCACCACAGAAUUCUAGGACUAAUUUACAUUGAUAUUUUAUCGUCUUUACAAUUUGUUAAGAUUAUUUUCACAUGCGAAGUUGAUGUAUUAUUUCCCCUCAUGGUGUAUUAUAGAUUUCAUAUCUUAUCAUUACUUUAAAUAUUUCGUGGUAAUUAAUUUAACUGUAAGUUAUAUUUUCGAGA
Molecule: long non-coding RNA, 776 nt
Organism: Salvia miltiorrhiza (redroot sage)
Lineage: Eukaryota; Viridiplantae; Streptophyta; Magnoliopsida; Lamiales; Lamiaceae
Exons: 2
Source: RefSeq, a predicted model, not a curated record